RNAcentral lists this long non-coding RNA (1079 nucleotides) under Vigna radiata. RNAcentral's name for it is "long non-coding RNA (VRAD_LNC009154)". The record is from RNAcentral. Lineage: Eukaryota; Viridiplantae; Streptophyta; Magnoliopsida; Fabales; Fabaceae.
ACCCAGAAAGGGGAAAGGGCCAAAAAGGAAGGGUGAGAAAAAGACGUGGGAUGGGUAAGUGACCUUAACUACAUUGAUAAAAGUCAUAUAUAUGUAUGCAGUGUUUCAAGUCUUUUUAAGCAAUGCAAAAACUCCAUAGGUGCCCUUUAACUUUCACAAUUAAAAUUUGAAUAGUUGUACAACUGCUCUUUUUGUUCCUUCUUUAUUGUUCUUUUCUCUUUAACUUGAACCUCCAAAGAACCUAAAGAUACACAUACAACAAACGAAACGAAAGAAGAAAUUAAAUACACAUACAGUUAUAAUAAAAAAACAAAGAAGAAAAAGUAUUGCAUGAACCUUGAAUUUGUUUAAGCAGAAGAGUAUUCUGAAAAAUGAUUUCCGUGCAAUGAAUUGAAAGCAGAUAGUAAAGUGGGCUUCAACUUACCACAGAAAGCCAACAGAUUCGGCUCAAACUAUCAAACUCCAACUCCAUAAUUGAGUGGACCCGCAUUUGCAAUUUCAAGUUGGGGAAAAAGACGUGAAGGUAACUUGAAAACUUGAAGCAAGCAGCAUAUAACACCUGCUACACUCCCAUUAUUAUGGUCACUGACAAAUGACAUAAUGUCCUCAUACUCCUCAAGUUAAUCCCCAGUUGGGUUUACAAAGAUCAUACAAACUGAACCUUUGAUCGUCACACGUGAGAAGAAGAUAUUCUUUGCUGAGGUUAAAAUCACUUCAUUCAAAUCAUCUAAGAAAAAACUGUAAUUUUCUUGAAUUUUUAGCAUCAUCGCAGUGGGCCCCACCUGGAAAACUAUUAAGUGGCUCACAGAUUCAUCAUCAGCCAUGACUCUUUCAGCCCAUCAUGUGUAUAACAUCAUCAUACAACAGUUCAAAUCAAAUCAAUGGUACAAACUUAGUAUCAACCACUGUGUUUGGCUUUUGGCAUGGGAAAACUCACACUGUAAAUAAAACACUCUUCCUGUUCAACAUGAUCUAUCUGAGUUUAUGGUAAAUUUUACUAAUUUUAAUUAAACUCCCAUAGAUGGUUUUUUGGUGGGGAGGAACAUGGUCUGAGGUAUGGGGUCCGUAGCAUCAUGUCC